This 157-nucleotide ribosomal RNA is filed under the name uncultured endophytic bacterium. RNAcentral's name for it is "partial 16S ribosomal RNA". It matches the Rfam family "Bacterial small subunit ribosomal RNA", at positions 350 to 524 of the family's 1533-position model. The record is from RNAcentral.
AGCAGUGGGGAAUCUUGCGCAAUGGGCGAAAGCCUGACGCAGCCAUGCCGCGUGAAUGAUGAAGGUCUUAGGAUUGUAAAAUUCUUUCACCGGGGACGAUAAUGACGGUACCCGGAGAAGAAGCCCCGGCUAACUUCGUGCCAGCAGCCGCGGUAAU